Molecule: ribosomal RNA, 223 nt
Filed under: uncultured bacterium
Lineage: Bacteria
Description: partial 16S ribosomal RNA
Rfam family: Bacterial small subunit ribosomal RNA
Source: RNAcentral
UAACGCGUGAGGAACCUGCCUUUCAGAGGGGGACAACAGUUGGAAACGACUGCUAAUACCGCAUGACGCAUUUUGAUCGCAUGGUCGAAAUGCCAAAGAUUUAUCGCUGAAAGAUGGCCUCGCGUCUGAUUAGCUAGUUGGUGAGGUAACGGCCCACCAAGGCGACGAUCGGUAGCCGGACUGAGAGGUUGAACGGCCACAUUGGGACUGAGACACGGCCCAG